Molecule: non-coding RNA, 73 nt
Organism: Ameiurus melas (black bullhead)
Lineage: Eukaryota; Metazoa; Chordata; Actinopteri; Siluriformes; Ictaluridae
Source: the annotation of a GenBank genome assembly
UGCACGGUGGCUUAAUGGUUAGUAUGUUCACCUCACACCUCCAGGGUCCGGGGUUCAAGUCCCGCCCGGGCCG